CAGAUUUUAGCUUCGGAUAUGGCUACCAUUGGGUAUAUUACUUGAAUAGGUUUGACAAAGAGGAAAGCUUGCUAAGUGAACUAUUUUAGAGGCAUAUUUUUAAUAACACCCUUAUAGAUCUUAUCCGUGUUGGCUAAAUUCACCAGUGCUUGAAACCAACCAUUUUUUAUUCUUUCUUAUGGCAUUCUUCCGUGGGCCAACAUCUGUUGAUUCUCAUAAUUGAUAAGCUGUUCUUGCCAUUAUCAUGUGAGAUUUAGACCAUUGACAAAUCCUUUCAUACCUUGAAAUGGUAAGACAUAUAGUUGGAUCUUGCUAAUCAUUUAGAUGGAAAUCAAUCCCUGACUAAUUCAAAUGAACAAAAUAUAGUAUAAUACCUUGUUAGUGUAGCUGGUUGCAAUUUGUUCUCGGAACAUCUUUGGAUUGAUCUUUCUAGAUGCAUUUGGGAAUCAGGACUUCUUUUUGGUACUUUUCUUGGACACUAUACAUGAAAGGAAGUCAUUUUCAUUGGUGGAAUGAUAUUUAUGGAACCAUCACAUGAUCCUUCUCCAACUGUACUUUACCCUCUGAUAAGUAAUAAAGACACCACAAACCUACUGUAUGGUUGGCAUGUAUCCUUAAAGGAACUCCUAUGUGCGAACUUAAAGUACUCACAUAUGUUCCAUAAAUAAUAAAAAAGUAAAAUUAAUUUUGACCAUACAUUUAAUUGCAUAAAAUAAUUAUUACUAUAGUAUAGUAAAAAUAAUUAAAAAAAAUACUCAUAAUUAAUGAAUAGACGUGUAUCUAUUAUAUUAUACAUAAUAAGCG
Molecule: long non-coding RNA, 804 nt
Filed under: Capsicum annuum
Lineage: Eukaryota; Viridiplantae; Streptophyta; Magnoliopsida; Solanales; Solanaceae
Description: long non-coding RNA (CANN_LNC009853)
Source: RNAcentral